RNAcentral lists this long non-coding RNA (427 nucleotides) under Trifolium pratense (red clover). Its description in RNAcentral is "long non-coding RNA (TPRA_LNC004445)". The record is from RNAcentral. Lineage: Eukaryota; Viridiplantae; Streptophyta; Magnoliopsida; Fabales; Fabaceae.
CUAAGACCAAUAUAUGUCCCUACCCAUUGGAUUGAUUGUUUGUACAUGAUUUUAUGUUUUGGAACACUCAUGAGAGCUUGGGGCCUGCAUUGAACAAGAAAAUAGGAGAGAAGAACAGAAAUUGGAAACAAGCAAAAAUUGGAAUGAGCCUAAGGAAAUUCGUGUUUGAGAUAUGCCUGCAGUAAAACAGUAAGUACUCUCUCCCUGUAACUCCGAAUUGAGUGAUUUUUGUUUCUAUGAAAAGCUGACGCAAUUCCCUUCGACUGAGUACCAAUUUGGUAAUUUUUGGAUUAAUAAUGAAGUCUCAGUCCACGUUUGAAUCUAGGGUACUGAUGCUGUCAAAUUCUGGUUUUUGGAUUGUGAGUUUUACGCGCUCGGAUGCUCGAGAGUGUACGGAUCAGUUCAGUGAUGCGGAUCGAACCCAGGC